This 556-nucleotide ribosomal RNA is filed under the name uncultured bacterium. Its description in RNAcentral is "partial 16S ribosomal RNA". It matches the Rfam family "Bacterial small subunit ribosomal RNA", at positions 355 to 902 of the family's 1533-position model. The record is from RNAcentral.
UGGGGAAUUUUGGACAAUGGGGGAAACCCUGAUCCAGCCAUCCCGCGUGUGCGAUGAAGGCCUUCGGGUUGUAAAGCACUUUUGGCAGGAAAGAAACGUCGCGGGUUAAUACCCCGCGAAACUGACGGUACCUGCAGAAUAAGCACCGGCUAACUACGUGCCAGCAGCCGCGGUAAUACGUAGGGUGCAAGCGUUAAUCGGAAUUACUGGGCGUAAAGCGUGCGCAGGCGGUUCGGAAAGAAAGAUGUGAAAUCCCAGAGCUUAACUUUGGAACUGCAUUUUUAAACUACCGGGCUAGAGUGUGUCAGAGGGAGGUGGAAUUCCGCGUGUAGCAGUGAAAUGCGUAGAUAUGCGGAGGAACACCGAUGGCGAAGGCAGCCUCCUGGGAUAACACUGACGCUCAUGCACGAAAGCGUGGGGAGCAAACAGGAUUAGAUACCCUGGUAGUCCACGCCCUAAACGAUGUCAACUAGCUGUUGGGGCCUUCGGGCCUUGGUAGCGCAGCUAACGCGUGAAGUUGACCGCCUGGGGAGUACGGUCGCAAGAUUAAAAACUU